RNAcentral lists this ribosomal RNA (465 nucleotides) under Vreelandella stevensii. RNAcentral describes it as "partial 16S ribosomal RNA". It matches the Rfam family "Bacterial small subunit ribosomal RNA", at positions 338 to 795 of the family's 1533-position model. Lineage: Bacteria; Pseudomonadati; Pseudomonadota; Gammaproteobacteria; Oceanospirillales; Halomonadaceae. The record is from RNAcentral.
CCUACGGGUGGCAGCAGUGGGGAAUAUUGGACAAUGGGGGGAACCCUGAUCCAGCCAUGCCGCGUGUGUGAAGAAGGCCCUCGGGUUGUAAAGCACUUUCAGUGAGGAAGAACGCCUGGUGGUUAAUACCCAUCAGGAAAGACAUCACUCACAGAAGAAGCACCGGCUAACUCCGUGCCAGCAGCCGCGGUAAUACGGAGGGUGCGAGCGUUAAUCGGAAUUACUGGGCGUAAAGCGCGCGUAGGUGGCUUGAUAAGCCGGUUGUGAAAGCCCCGGGCUCAACCUGGGAACGGCAUCCGGAACUGUCAAGCUAGAGUGCAGGAGAGGAAGGUAGAAUUCCCGGUGUAGCGGUGAAACGCGUAGAGAUCGGGAGGAAUACCAGUGGCGAAGGCGGCCUUCUGGACUGACACUGACACUGAGGUGCGAAAGCGUGGGUAGCAAACAGGAUUAGAUACCCGGGUAGUC